AGCCCAACACGACGUGGCUUCUAGUGUCUUCUCCUCGCUUCCGCGGGUUUCUUCCACCCAGAGACCCACCGACCGCCCACACUCCAGCAACCCAGAAUAUUGAUUUGCAGCGAUGCCGCCGGUGGUCUCGAGAUCCGACAGGAUAGUUCGCCGGACGGCGAUGAUCGGCGCCGCCACCGCCGCCUUCUUGCUCCUCACCGCCGACUACGGCCCCAACUACCCCAACCCCAUAAGGAAGGCCAUGGAGCUCUUCUCCAAACCGGACAGGAGUGUUCAUCAAGCUCAACAAGCUGAUACUAAUUCGAAGCCGGAUGGUAGUUAAAUAAAGUACUAGUACUAGUGCACUUUCAUGUGCCGACUAGCUAGGAUCAGUUUCCCCUUGUUUUGUCAUUGCACAACAACGUAUCCAGAUCCAGGUGCUAUCGUGAACGUUUCAGUGAUAUCAUGUGCCUCAGUGCCUGCUGCAUGCAUUAUGUCCA
Setaria italica (foxtail millet) is the source of this 479-nucleotide long non-coding RNA. RefSeq lists it as uncharacterized. NCBI's taxonomy places the organism in Eukaryota, Viridiplantae, Streptophyta, Magnoliopsida, Poales, Poaceae. The record is from RefSeq and is a predicted model, not a curated record. The transcript is spliced from 2 exons.